This 2740-nucleotide long non-coding RNA is filed under the name Astyanax mexicanus (Mexican tetra). RNAcentral describes it as "lncRNA (ENSAMXG00005004103.1)". Lineage: Eukaryota; Metazoa; Chordata; Actinopteri; Characiformes; Acestrorhamphidae. The record is from RNAcentral.
AUUCUGAAGUGGGAACUCUCUUCUCUAUAGAGAUUCUCCUACUGGAGUUAAUGUUUGGAGACGCUUAGGUUAAAUGUGAGGCUUUAUUUAACUCAUAUUUCACAACAUUGUGUGUUUUUAUAGACGUUUUAGUGCGUUACAAGACAGCACGAUUUGAGAACAUGUUGUUAACCGCUCAGAACAUUUAGUAAACUACUUAAUUCGCUGGGUUAAUGUUAGCAAGCUAGGUUAGCUAACUAAGCUACAGUUAGUAUAUUUGUCAUCAACUGUCUGGUUAAGGCAACGUUAACGUUAGUUCGAUGUGUAGCCUAGUUAAGCAAUAAGUUUCGCUAGAUAGCUGUUUAUUAGCUAACCUAACUAACAUAGGUAAAUAUUUACUGCUUUUCUAAAAUCCAUCUGAUUCAGUUGUUCAUUGUUACAAUAUGCCAAAAUUGUAUAAUCUGAUAAGGUUAUAACACUGUGAGAAAUUUUGGGAAUAUCAUCAUGAAGUCCAGUGAUCCUGUUUUCACCAGACACAACCCCUUUCCUCCAGAACCACAUUUCACUAGAGCCCAUUACAAUCCAUCUCGAGCAAAGAAGAUUCCUAAGCAGCAGAAGAGACUGGCCCUGAGCCCUGUCCGCUUUGACCAGCUGGCCAGUUCUCCUGACUCUUCUCCUCACGCUGCAGCUCUCAGCCCAGAGGACCAGCGCUUCCUUAAAGGAUCUCGCCGAGUUGUUUUCUGUCCUCCUCCGUCUGUAAAAGAUCAGCAGAUAUUUUCUGAGUCCUGGCCUUCCACCGAUCAGUCUUCCUCUCCUGCCAGUGUGACAAUUUCAUCCUCCUCAGAGCCCCAGGCUUUAACAGCAGAUCACACAGAGCCCAGUGGAACUCAGGAAUCUUCAGUACUGGCAAAGUAUAUUGAGCGAUUCCGUUAUGGAAGACCACAAAGCCGUGAGGAAAGACAGAGGGUGACAACUGCAUUAGAUGGACAUCCGUUGUGGUCGAUGUCCUCUUCCUCUCCACAGCCUUCCAGCUCCACUCCCACCCAAAUCUCCAAGGAACACUUUAGAGGUUCACAUGAACUCAGGAGUGACAGAAAUGAUGGCACAGGCAGCAUGCGCAGUCCAGCUGAGCAGUCUCGGGCCAACAGGUCACUCUCUUCUCCCAGAGGCCUGCUUGACCUGAGUGCACUUGACUUGUCUGAUUCCUCCCACUGUGAGCCAGCAGAGCCAGAGAUUCUGCAGCUUCAGGAGGGAGCCAGCAGGCUUCUGCAGAAGAGUGAGAACUCUCUCAGUAGUGGCUCCAGCGGUCUACCCAUCAGCUCUGAGGGUCUGGGCUGCACUGAUUUCUCUUCUCCUGUAAGUGUUGAUGAGCCAGUGCGAAGACCUAUAGUACCUGGAUUAAUGGACACAGCUAACUUGCUAUCAGCAUCCAGUGUAUCUAGAGGAGGUCUCAUUCCUGCUCCAUCCAUGCUGGGCACCAGAGGUUCACGUACUCGCCCUGAGGAUGACAUCCUGUUUCAGUGGCGCCUGAGGAGGAAGAUGGAGCAGGCCAGACAGUGGAGUGAAACAUCCUCCCAUACUUCAUCUUUUCAUCAGCCUCCACUGAGCCGACUGGCACAACAGCCCAGCCCUGUCUCUGCUGAUCCCUCUCAAACUGCAGUUUAUUCACCUGCACCUGCUGCAGAGAGACCUGCUGCUGUAAGCAUCUCUGCAUGUUCAGCCUAUCAGCCAGCACUUCCUGUCUCCAGCACAACCAUCUGCACAGAACUCCAUCCAGAGACCAGCAAACAAACUCCAGACGAUCCCACUACCUUCAGCUCUUCUGUCCCCUUACCCCAGCCUGCCAAACAGAGGACCACUGUCCACCACCAGGGCCCUUCUAACUUCCCACAGUGCCAUCCAAGAGCCUCAGGAAGCCCCUCAGGGAGCUCAGUGGAGCCCUGCAAAAAGCACCACACCCAAUCCUUACCCUCUCCACAGCCUUCUGAAUGGACAGAUGGGGAACAGUAUGGAUACCAGCACAGAGAGGACAAGCAGACCAAAGGCAAGCUAGUGGUGGAGAGGAGCAGAACAAAGGUAGCAAAGGAAAGCCGAAAGAAACAAUUGGACAGGCACGUAGGGUAUGGAAAUGACGACAAUAAGGGAAACCAAAUCAAUUCCAAAGCCAGCAAUAGACAUGGUAGAGGUCAAGAACGAGUCAGCUGCAAGGCCAAAGGGACCAGAAGAGAAAAUAGGAGGCACAGUGAGGGUCUAAGUUCAGGAGAUCAUGCCCCGCCCCCUUCACCUAUACACAACACACUGGGACAGGUUGUGUCUGAGGUCCUAUUUCUUGGAACUGAUUCACCAACCCAAUCCAGAACCCCGUGUUCCUCAGACUCUUCCAGACUCACCCCCCUUCCCCCUCCUCAGUCCCCUGCUCCUCCUCCUCAAAGUGUACCACAGCCAUCUGAGGUAAUAGGUCAGCUGAUGCAAGAAGCACAAGACUCAGAUGGGCUAGAAUUUGAAGAUGACCCCUUACUUUUAGUUCUUCGACAGCAGAGAAAAUGGGUAAAAGAGCAGUUACGUGAGGUAGAUGCGACGUUGGAUGAGCUGAACGAGGACUAAUGUUUACUGUGGACAAGAAAGCACUGUCACGCACAAACACAAUCAAGUUUAUUCUUAGGAAAUCAAUACAGUGCAUUUCAUUUGUGUGUGAAAUAUUUAUGUAAAUGUAAUUUACAGUGUUAAUAAAAUGAUUUGGAAAAAUAUAUAUAUAUUUAAA